GACCUAGCCUAAUGUUUCAGCAUGUCAAUACCAUUUUUAGAAUUCAGAUGGUGUCCUGAUGAGUCUUUAGUUUCACAACAAUAUAAAUUCAUAGGCAAAAAUGGAAAAUAGUCCAUGCUUUUUUUAAAAGUGAAAUCCAGUAAGUAAACUAUAACUUGAGCCAUUCUUCAUACAUAAUACGGAAAAAAGUCCUCCCUGUAAAUAAGAGACUGUGCCAUAGAUACUACAGAAGGAACAGGGAAUUACCAGGUAUCUUUAACCCUUCCAUUUUUACAUCCUAUGUUUGUAAUGUUCCAAUGCAAGGUUUCAUUUUACAGUUUUUUUCUGACAGCAUCAAAGUUUGCUCCUAUUUACCUGGAGUCUUGGGAGCCCCUACUCUUUGAGCAAGUCAGUACCGUUGCACAG
This 405-nucleotide long non-coding RNA is filed under the name Pan troglodytes (chimpanzee). RNAcentral's name for it is "long non-coding RNA NONPTRT017438". The record is from RNAcentral. Lineage: Eukaryota; Metazoa; Chordata; Mammalia; Primates; Hominidae.